GGAGAAAUGGCUCAGUGGUUAAGAGCACUGGCUGCUCUUUCAGAAGACCUGGGUUCAAUUCUCGGUACCUACA
Molecule: transfer RNA, 73 nt
Filed under: Mesocricetus auratus (golden hamster)
Lineage: Eukaryota; Metazoa; Chordata; Mammalia; Rodentia; Cricetidae
Rfam family: tRNA
About the family: Transfer RNA (tRNA) molecules are approximately 80 nucleotides in length. Their secondary structure includes four short double-helical elements and three loops (D, anti-codon, and T loops). Further hydrogen bonds mediate the characteristic L-shaped molecular structure. tRNAs have two regions of fundamental functional importance: the anti-codon, which is responsible for specific mRNA codon recognition, and the 3' end, to which the tRNAs corresponding amino acid is attached (by aminoacyl-tRNA synthetases). tRNAs cope with the degeneracy of the genetic code in two manners: having more than one tRNA (with a specific anti-codon) for a particular amino acid; and 'wobble' base-pairing, i.e. permitting non-standard base-pairing at the 3rd anti-codon position.
Source: Rfam by way of RNAcentral